AGGAGUAGAUGGGUGCUGGUGUACCUCAUGGUCUUCAAAACCAGUGUGACGCCUUAAAGAGGUGUCGGGUGGAUUCGAUUCUCAAAUACUCCCGCCA
This 97-nucleotide transfer RNA is filed under the name Calorimonas adulescens. Its description in RNAcentral is "Thermoanaerobacteraceae bacterium A05MB tRNA-Sec". It matches the Rfam family "Selenocysteine transfer RNA". The record is from RNAcentral. Lineage: Bacteria; Bacillati; Bacillota; Clostridia; Thermoanaerobacterales; Thermoanaerobacteraceae.